RNAcentral lists this ribosomal RNA (497 nucleotides) under uncultured bacterium. Its description in RNAcentral is "partial 16S ribosomal RNA". It matches the Rfam family "Bacterial small subunit ribosomal RNA", at positions 28 to 507 of the family's 1533-position model. The record is from RNAcentral.
GAUGAACGCUGGCGGCGUGCCUAAUACAUGCAAGUCGAGCGAACGGACGAGAAGCUUGCUUCUCUGAUGUUAGCGGCGGACGGGUGAGUAACACGUGGAUAACCUACCUAUAAGACUGGGAUAACUUCGGGAAACCGGAGCUAAUACCGGAUAAUAUUUUGAACCGCAUGGUUCAAAAGUGAAAGACGGUCUUGCUGUCACUUAUAGAUGGAUCCGCGCUGCAUUAGCUAGUUGGUAAGGUAACGGCUUACCAAGGCGACGAUGCAUAGCCGACCUGAGAGGGUGAUCGGCCACACUGGAACUGAGACACGGUCCAGACUCCUACGGGAGGCAGCAGUAGGGAAUCUUCCGCAAUGGGCGUAAGCCUGACGGAGCAACGCCGCGUGAGUGAUGAAGGUCUUCGGAUCGUAAAACUCUGUUAUUAGGGAAGAACAUAUGUGUAAGUAACUGUGCACAUCUUGACGGUACCUAAUCAGAAAGCCACGGCUAACUACGUG